This is a long non-coding RNA of Gallus gallus (chicken), 995 nucleotides long. The record is from Ensembl. Lineage: Eukaryota; Metazoa; Chordata; Aves; Galliformes; Phasianidae.
CAGUUCUUGCAGAGCCUGCACUUUGGAUGCUGUGUCUGAACAGAGACUGAGCCAGGCUGUAGCACUACCUUCCAUGCAGCUAUGGCUGCCUCGGGAGAGGCCUGGCUUCGCAGCAGUGGUGGAAGAGAAGGCUAGCAAGCUACAGCAGCAAGAAAUGCAAUAGAGAAAACACUGAGUGAAAAACAUCAGAAGUGGCUUUUCAUGUUUAGGUGGAUGAUGACUGAUAUCCAAUAAGAAAGAAGAAUCUAAGGGUUCCUGUGAGUUAGGUUUCUGGACUGAGAGAUGAGUAGUGUGACAUGGAAGCCAGUAAAAAUCAUAGGAAUGCUGAGGAACUCACCUCCUCAUCUGCCACCUCAGAGUCUGCCUGGGUUGCUCUCAACCAAAAUCUGUGGAUUUACAAUUGUCAGAAAGGAAACCCAGCUUCUACAGUAAUCAACAAGAUAUAUGUGCCUAAUCAGCUUCAACACUGGAAACCCUUACAACAAAUCUACACAAGACCCUGAAGUGUUUUUCAGUAUUAUCCCUCAGCUUUUACCUUACCCUGGUGAAGACCUUCCGUAUGACAUCAGACUUUUUAUCCAUCUCAGCUAGAUGAGCUCUUUGAAGAAGAGCUUCUCUUGCUUGGGGUAUUUACACAGUGUCCUGCAUCCACCCUAGCCAGUGAACUCUGUCAUAUCCAUGGUCUUAUCCAUGGCCAAUUCUCUGUUCAGCAGCCAUUCAACACUGGUAAAGUUGAGUACAGCUGUGGUCGUCCACAUACAGAAAAACUCUAAAUGGCAUAGCUGCACAGGAGGACUAGCAUGGACCAGAAUGAAGCAAGAAGUCAGCUUGCUCAGGCUAGCAAAGCAUUGAGGGCUGAACUCUGAGGGCUGAGAAAAAAAAAAUGUGAAAGCUGUAGGUUAAUCUAACUUGAUAUGGAGAAUUUUAUUUUCUGACUAGCUCUUUCAUUAACAUUCACCUGCAUAUUUUAGAAUAAGGUUGAUUAAAAAAAAAAA